RNAcentral lists this ribosomal RNA (267 nucleotides) under uncultured bacterium. RNAcentral describes it as "partial 16S ribosomal RNA". It matches the Rfam family "Bacterial small subunit ribosomal RNA", at positions 793 to 1055 of the family's 1533-position model. The record is from RNAcentral.
GUCCUAGCUGUAAACGAUGAUAACUAGCUAUAGGAGGUAUCGACCCCUUCUGUGGCGACGCUAACGCAUUAAGUUAUCCGCCUGGGGAGUACGGCCGCAAGGUUAAAACUCAAAGGAAUUGACGGGGGCCCGCACAAGCGGUGGAGCAUGUGGUUUAAUUCGACGCUACGCGAAGAACCUUACCUGGGCUCGAACGACUGGUAGUACCUCUUUUGAAAGGGAGAGGGAUCCGCAAGGAAGCCAGCCGAGGUGCUGCAUGGUUGUCGU